This 497-nucleotide ribosomal RNA is filed under the name uncultured bacterium. Its description in RNAcentral is "partial 16S ribosomal RNA". It matches the Rfam family "Bacterial small subunit ribosomal RNA", at positions 28 to 507 of the family's 1533-position model. The record is from RNAcentral.
GAUGAACGCUGGCGGCGUGCCUAAUACAUGCAAGUCGAGCGAACGGACGAGAAGCUUGCUUCUCUGAUGUUAGCGGCGGACGGGUGAGUAACACGUGGAUAACCUACCUAUAAGACUGGGAUAACUUCGGGAAACCGGAGCUAAUACCGGAUGAUAUUUUGAACCGCAUGGUUCAAAAGUGAAAGACGGUCUUGCUGUCACUUAUAGAUGGAUCCGCGCUGCAUUAGCUAGUUGGUAAGGUAACGGGUUACCAAGGCAACGAUGCAUAGCCGACCUGAGAGGGUGAUCGGCCACACUGGAACUGAGACACGGUCCAGACUCCUACGGGAGGCAGCAGUAGGGAAUCUUCCGCAAUGGGCGAAAGCCUGGCGGAGCAACGCCGCGUGAGUGAUGAAGGUCUUCGGAUCGUAAAACUCUGUUAUUAGGGAAGAACAUAUGUGUAAGUAACUGUGCACAUCUUGACGGUACCUAAUCAGAAAGCCACGGCUAACUACGUG